AGUGAACGCUGGCGGUAGGCCUAACACAUGCAAGUCGAACGGCAGCACAGGGGAGCUUGCUCUCUGGGUGGCGAGUGGCGGACGGGUGAGGAAUACAUCGGAAUCUACUCUGUCGUGGGGGAUAACGUAGGGAAACUUACGCUAAUACCGCAUACGACCUACGGGUGAAAGCAGGGGACCUUCGGGCCUUGCGCGAUUGAAUGAGCCGACGUCGGAUGAGCUAGUUGGCGGGGUAAAGGCCCACCAAGGCGACGAGCCGUAGCUGGUCUGAGAGGAUGAUCAGCCACACUGGAACUGAGACACGGUCCAGACUCCUACGGGAGGCAGCAGUGGGGAAUAUUGGACAAUGGGCGCAAGCCUGAUCCAGCCAUACCGCGUGGGUGAAGAAGGCCUUCGGGUUGUAAAGCCCUUUUGUUGGGAAAGAAAUCCAGCUGGCUAAUACCCGGUUGGGAUGACGGUACCCAAAGAAUAAGCACCGGCUAACUUCGUGCCAGCAGCCGCCGUAA
RNAcentral lists this ribosomal RNA (506 nucleotides) under uncultured bacterium. RNAcentral describes it as "partial 16S ribosomal RNA". It matches the Rfam family "Bacterial small subunit ribosomal RNA", at positions 29 to 523 of the family's 1533-position model. The record is from RNAcentral.